This 512-nucleotide ribosomal RNA is filed under the name uncultured bacterium. RNAcentral describes it as "partial 16S ribosomal RNA". It matches the Rfam family "Bacterial small subunit ribosomal RNA", at positions 28 to 523 of the family's 1533-position model. The record is from RNAcentral.
GAUGAACGCUGGCGGCGUGCCUAAUACAUGCAAGUCGAGCGAAUGAUGAGGAGCUUGCUCCUCUGAUUUAGCGGCGGACGGGUGAGUAACACGUGGGUAAUCUGCCUGUAAGACGGGGAUAACUCCGGGAAACCGGGGCUAAUACCGGAUAACAAGAGAAGAAGCAUUUCUUCUUUUUGAAAGUCGGUUUUGGCUGACACUUACAGAUGAGCCCGCGGCGCAUUAGCUAGUUGGUGAGGUAACGGCUCACCAAGGCGACGAUGCGUAGCCGACCUGGGAGGGUGAUCGGCCACACUGGGACUGAGACACGGCCCAGACUCCUACGGGAGGCAGCAGUAGGGAAUCUUCGGCAAUGGGCGAAAGCCUGACCGAGCAACGCCGCGUGAGCGAUGAAGGCCUUCGGGUCGUAAAGCUCUGUUGUUAGAGAAAAACAAGUACGAGAGUAACUGCUCGUACCUUGACGGUACCUAACCAGAAAGCCACGGCUAACUACGUGCCAGCAGCCGCAGUAA